GGGGGGGGCAGCACUUUGGGCGGACUCGGGUGCAGGCACCGGGGGGCCCAGACCUUGAGCUGUGUCAGGGGCCCCAACAUUUCUGAUGGCAGCCCUGAUCCUGCCACUCACAUUCUUUGAUCAGCUUUCCAGAUAGCAAAGUUCUUUUUUAACCCCUUAAGGACACAUGGCAUGUGACAUGUCAGGAUUCCCUUUUAUUCCAGAAGUUUGGUCCUUAAGGGGUUAAAGGUUAUUAAAGGAUCUUUUUGCAGUAAAUGCCAAACACACACACUUUCUUUCUCUUUGUUUCUCUUACUUCUAACUAGUGAUGUCCCGAACGGUUCGCGAACGGUUCACCGCGGACUCAUCAUUGAG
This is a non-coding RNA of Pelobates cultripes (western spadefoot toad), 354 nucleotides long. The record is from the annotation of a GenBank genome assembly. Lineage: Eukaryota; Metazoa; Chordata; Amphibia; Anura; Pelobatidae.